AUUUUAUUGAAUUUUAUUGAAACCGUAUUAUUUUAAUAUUUGCUGUUUAACAUCCGAUUUUUAUACAACAUCGAUAUUAGAGUUAUUCAAAAUGUCCAGUUGUAUUUUGGCUAACGAAUUCAACGAAGACGCAGAACUUUAUUCUGCUAUGGAAAUUAAAAAUUGAGGGUAAUGAAAUAUACGGCAGUCAAGGAAAAAUAAUACUGAACCCAAGUAAUUGAAAAAAAAUUGCUAUAGAAUUUGAUGACAUUAUUGACUUCAUCACCUAACUUCGGUGUUUCUAUAUGUAUUCAAGUACUACACAUGGGUUAGGAUAUGUGUAUGUAACAAUGGAUUAAAGAAAGAUGGGAUUUUAAUUGAAAUUCAUUUGACUCAAUGCAGAAAAACCUAGAUAUUUCAAUGCGUCCGAUCCAAAGAUCAAUUGGAUUCGAGUUAAUGUGUGCAUUAAGACAUAGUUUUAUGACGGCCGGAGUACGACAAACAAGUGCUGUGCAACCAUCAGCAGGCAUUUCUAGCAAUUGUUGUGAUAGCCUGCGAAGAUAGCAUUUAUAGUAGAAAUGAGCAUUUUUAAAAAUCUUAACAUAUUUAUAAACUUGUUUUGAAAAGGCACUUGACAAAAGGAAGGAACAAUUCCGUCAAUUAUCCGUCAAUUCUGCAUAAAAGUUAAUAAUUUCUAUUUUCGAAAAAUUAAAUACCUUGUGAUGGUUGGCAUCUAUGUGGUCAUCCUAUCAAGUUAAUUAUAAGUAUUCCUAACAGUAAUUGUAUUAAUUAUUCUGUAAUAAUAAUAAAAUUUAACAUUAUUUCCUUA
Long non-coding RNA from Teleopsis dalmanni, 808 nucleotides. RefSeq lists it as uncharacterized. The transcript is spliced from 3 exons. NCBI's taxonomy places the organism in Eukaryota, Metazoa, Arthropoda, Insecta, Diptera, Diopsidae. The record is from RefSeq and is a predicted model, not a curated record.